CCUACGGGCGGCAGCAGUGGGGAAUAUUGGACAAUGGGCGAAAGCCUGAUCCAGCUAUGCCGCGUGUGUGAAGAAGGCCUUCGGGUUGUAAAGCACUUUCAGUGGGGAAGAAAGCCUUGGGGCUAAUACCCUCGAGGAAGGACAUCACCCACAGAAGAAGCACCGGCUAACUCCGUGCCAGCAGCCGCGGUAAUACGGAGGGUGCGAGCGUUAAUCGGAAUUACUGGGCGUAAAGCGCGCGUAGGCGGUCUGAUAAGCCGGUUGUGAAAGCCCCGGGCUCAACCUGGGAACGGCAUCCGGAACUGUCAGGCUAGAGUGCAGGAGAGGAAGGUAGAAUUCCCGGUGUAGCGGUGAAAUGCGUAGAGAUCGGGAGGAAUACCAGUGGCGAAGGCGGCCUUCUGGACUGACACUGACGCUGAGGUGCGAAAGCGUGGGUAGCAAACAGGAUUAGAUACCCGGGUAGUC
RNAcentral lists this ribosomal RNA (465 nucleotides) under Vreelandella stevensii. Its description in RNAcentral is "partial 16S ribosomal RNA". It matches the Rfam family "Bacterial small subunit ribosomal RNA", at positions 338 to 795 of the family's 1533-position model. The record is from RNAcentral. Lineage: Bacteria; Pseudomonadati; Pseudomonadota; Gammaproteobacteria; Oceanospirillales; Halomonadaceae.